Molecule: ribosomal RNA, 403 nt
Filed under: uncultured bacterium
Lineage: Bacteria
Description: bacterial SSU rRNA
Rfam family: Bacterial small subunit ribosomal RNA
Source: RNAcentral
UAGGGAAUAUUGCACAAUGGGCGAAAGCCUGAUGCAGCAACGCCGCGUGUGCGAUGAAGGCCUUCGGGUCGUAAAGCACUUUUCUGGGAGAUGAGAAAGGACAGUAUCUCAGGAAUAAGUCUCGGCUAACUACGUGACAGCAGCCGCGGUAAAACGCAGGAGGCAAGCGUUAUCCGGAUUCACUGGGUGUAAAGCGCGUGCAGGCGGUUCGGUAAGCUGGGCGUGAAAUCUCCUGGCUCAACUAGGAGAGGUCGUUCAAUACUACCGGACUUGAGAGUGGUAGAGGAAGAUGGAAUUGCCGGUGUAGUGGUGAAAUGCGUAGAUAUCGGGAGGAAAACCAGUGGCGAAGGCGAUCUUCUGGUCCAUUUCUGACGCUCAGACGCGACAGCUAGGGUAGCAAACG